AUCUAUUAGUAAAAUUCUCCCAAUUAAAAUUCGGUAAAUGAUAACCUAAAGGUAGAUGGAAAAACAUCAAAAUAGUAUAAGCCCAUUUGAGAAAAACAAAGGGAUUAGUUGUUAACUUCAACCACAAAAUCCCAUGGAAUCAAGUGUUGUAAAUACCAUGGAUAAAAAAUAAUUCAUGAUUUUGCUGACUUGGUUGAGUAUUCUAGACCUGGAUAUUGAGUGUUUCACUUGUACUGCUUCUUGCUUCUUCAUCAACCAAUUCCAGCUAUAUACAUACUCACAACCUGGAGAACAAUGAGCUUAUCCAUGGAUAUGGCUCUCCCAUUUCAGUAGUGGCCCUCGUUUCUUCUUUAAACAAACAACACUAGAUCGUGAUCAAAUUUUACAAAGCAUAUAAAUCGUGGCCUAAGGCUACAACACACAAAAAAAAAUGCCUCUUAAAUAUUUUGAAUUUCAAACAGAAAACAGAAGGAACUUGUGAUGUUCACAGAUGAUUAGAUUUGAAAAGUAGUUAAUCCCUAUAGAUUAUCCCAAAGGGAAAAUAAAAACUUUCCAGCCAAACCAAGAUGCUUUGUCCUGUGAGAACACUGUCCAGCAAUUAGGUUCUUGAAUGACUGAUGUAGUGCCCCAUUUGAAGAUUGGGGUCACAGUUUCAAAUGUAAAAUCUCUAAUUGGCCCUGCCAGCUCCAGGUAACAAACUUGAAAGAGAGGGAACCCCCUGGUUUCUCAUUUCCUCUUGUGCCCGCCUCAUUUCUUCGGGAUCUGAGGCCAAAACAAAACAGAUGGACGUGAUCAGUAAAAGACCCAGAACCAUCCUGACAAAAAUUAUCC
Molecule: long non-coding RNA, 831 nt
Filed under: Vitis vinifera (wine grape)
Lineage: Eukaryota; Viridiplantae; Streptophyta; Magnoliopsida; Vitales; Vitaceae
Description: long non-coding RNA (VVIN_LNC000981)
Source: RNAcentral